RNAcentral lists this ribosomal RNA (775 nucleotides) under uncultured Neocallimastigales. RNAcentral describes it as "partial large subunit ribosomal RNA". It matches the Rfam family "Eukaryotic large subunit ribosomal RNA", at positions 24 to 616 of the family's 3401-position model. The record is from RNAcentral. Lineage: Eukaryota; Fungi; Neocallimastigomycota; Neocallimastigomycetes; Neocallimastigales.
UAUGUGAUCGUCUCUCGCAUAUCAAUAAGCGGAGGAAAAGAAACUAACAAGGAUUCCCCUAGUAACGGCGAGUGAAGCGGGAAGAGCUCAAAUUUGAAAUCUUAAAGGGUUUCCCUUUACGGAAUUGUAGUUUAAAGAAGUGUUUUCUGUUGAGGUUUUGGUAAAAGUUCUUUGGAAUAGGACAUCAUAGAGGGUGAGAAUCCCGUAUUUGACCUUUACUUUCAACUUUGUGAUACACUUUCAAAGAGUCGGAUUGUUUGGGAAUGCAGUCCAAAAUGGGUGGUAAAUUUCAUCUAAAGCUAAAUAUUGGCGAGAGACCGAUAGCGAACAAGUACCGUGAGGGAAAGAUGAAAAGAACUUUGAAAAGAGAGUUAAACAGUACGUGAAAUUGUCAAAAGGGAAGCGUUUGACACCAGUGUUGUUUUUCUGAAAAUCAAUUAAAGAACUGUUUAUGCUAAGCUGUUUAGACUUUAUCAGCUAUCUGUUUAGUUUUGAGCUUUUCUUUAAUGCACUUUUCAGUUAACAAGUCAACAUCAAUUUCUUUUGCUGUAAAAAAGCUUGAGGAAGGUGGCUUGAGAUUCGUCUUAAGUGUUUAUAGCCUCUUGCCUAUGCAGUCGGAGAGAUUGAGGUCUGCAGCGUAGAUCCUUCGGGGCUAAAUGCAUUUGUGCUAAGUUAUAGCAUUUUAUAGACAACUUGUUGACUAUGAUUUGUCUUGUAGCUUACUCGCUUAUGUUAUUUUACCUACGCUUAGGAUGUUGAGCGCAUGUCUCUCUCU